CUUCCUUCCUUCCUUCCGUCCUUCCUUCCUCUCUCUUUCUCCCUCCCUUCGCCUCCCUUCCCCUCCUUUUUUUGUUGAAAGUGUUGACUCGGAGACAAAAAGAGGCCAAGAGCAAGAGUGACAGUGGGACAGCUGUCCAGACUUCCCUAGACAUUGACAAGAAUGAGAAGUGUUAUCUCUGUAAAUCCGUGGUCCCAUUCAGAGAGUACCAGAGUCAUGUAGAAUCCUGUCUCCAGCUUGCAAGGGGUGACCAAGGAGCUGGGCCUGAAGAGAGUGGGAAGGUAUGCUCAGCUAUGGAGGAGAAGCAGCAGCAGCAGCUGAGGAACCCAAAGG
Molecule: non-coding RNA, 333 nt
Organism: Leptonychotes weddellii (Weddell seal)
Lineage: Eukaryota; Metazoa; Chordata; Mammalia; Carnivora; Phocidae
Source: RefSeq, a predicted model, not a curated record